Arabidopsis thaliana (thale cress) is the source of this 199-nucleotide non-coding RNA. The record is from RefSeq. Lineage: Eukaryota; Viridiplantae; Streptophyta; Magnoliopsida; Brassicales; Brassicaceae.
GUAGUGGAGCUUCUUGAUGUCUUAAGUUAAUGGUGUGUUUUUGUUGAUUGAGAGAAGCAUUCGUGGUAGCUAUUAAUAGAAGGAAAGUCAUCGACUCUAGCGCUGACGAUUUUGACCAAGUCAUAUGCAUGUGGUGGCAUUACGUGGUGGUAUAAUCCGUGAUCGUUGUUGAGUUUAGCAUCUCUGGAUCCCUUGAAAG